RNAcentral lists this ribosomal RNA (1433 nucleotides) under uncultured organism. RNAcentral's name for it is "16S ribosomal RNA". It matches the Rfam family "Bacterial small subunit ribosomal RNA". The record is from RNAcentral.
AUGAACGCUAGCGACAGGCUUAACACAUGCAAGUCGAGGGGCAGCACAGGUAGCAAUACCGGGUGGCGACCGGCGCACGGGUGAGUAACGCGUAUGCAACUUACCUAUCAGAGGGGGAUAACCCGGCGAAAGUCGGACUAAUACCGCAUGAAGCAGGGGCCCCGCAUGGGGAUAUUUGCUAAAGAUUCAUCGCUGAUAGAUAGGCAUGCGUUCCAUUAGGCAGUUGGCGGGGUAACGGCCCACCAAACCGACGAUGGAUAGGGGUUCUGAGAGGAAGGUCCCCCACAUUGGUACUGAGACACGGACCAAACUCCUACGGGAGGCAGCAGUGAGGAAUAUUGGUCAAUGGCCGAGAGGCUGAACCAGCCAAGUCGCGUGAGGGAUGAAGGUUCUAUGGAUCGUAAACCUCUUUUAUAAGGGAAUAAAGUGCGGGACGUGUCCCGUUUUGUAUGUACCUUAUGAAUAAGGAUCGGCUAACUCCGUGCCAGCAGCCGCGGUAAUACGGAGGAUCCGAGCGUUAUCCGGAUUUAUUGGGUUUAAAGGGUGCGUAGGCGGCCUUUUAAGUCAGCGGUGAAAGUCUGUGGCUCAACCAUAGAAUUGCCGUUGAAACUGGGGGGCUUGAGUAUGUUUGGGGCAGGCGGAAUGCGUGGUGUAGCGGUGAAAUGCAUAGAUAUCACGCAGAACCCCGAUUGCGAAGGCAGCCUGCCAAGCCAUUACUGACGCUGAUGCACGAAAGCGUGGGGAUCAAACAGGAUUAGAUACCCUGGUAGUCCACGCAGUAAACGAUGAUCACUAGCUGUUUGCGAUACACUGUAAGCGGCACAGCGAAAGCGUUAAGUGAUCCACCUGGGGAGUACGCCGGCAACGGUGAAACUCAAAGGAAUUGACGGGGGCCCGCACAAGCGGAGGAACAUGUGGUUUAAUUCGAUGAUACGCGAGGAACCUUACCCGGGUUUGAACGCAUUCGGACCGAGGUGGAAACACCUUUUCUAGCAAUAGCCGUUUGCGAGGUGCUGCAUGGUUGUCGUCAGCUCGUGCCGUGAGGUGUCGGCUUAAGUGCCAUAACGAGCGCAACCCUUGCCACUAGUUACUAACAGGUAAAGCUGAGGACUCUGGUGGGACUGCCAGCGUAAGCUGCGAGGAAGGCGGGGAUGACGUCAAAUCAGCACGGCCCUUACAUCCGGGGCGACACACGUGUUACAAUGGCGUGGACAAAGGGAAGCCACCUGGCGACAGGGAGCGAAUCCCCAAACCACGUCUCAGUUCGGAUCGGAGUCUGCAACCCGACUCCGUGAAGCUGGAUUCGCUAGUAAUCGCGCAUCAGCCAUGGCGCGGUGAAUACGUUCCCGGGCCUUGUACACACCGCCCGUCAAGCCAUGGGAGCCGGGGGUACCUGAAGUCCGUAACCGCGAGGAUCGGCCUAGGGUAAAACU